GGGAACGUGCCUUUCACUACGGAAUAGUCCCGGGAAACUGGGUUUAAUACCGUAUACGCCCUUCGGGGGAAAGAAUUUCGGUGAAAGAUCGGCCCGCGUUAGAUUAGGUAUUUGGUGGGGUAAUGGCCUACCAAGCCUACGAUCUAUAGCUGGUUUUAGAGGAUGAUCAGCAACACUGGGACUGAGACACGGCCCAGACUCCUACUGGAGGCAGCAGUGGGGAAUCUUGCGCAAUGGACGAAAGUCUGACGCAGCAACGCCGCGUGUGUGAUGAAGGCUCUCGGGUCGUAAAGCACUGUCAGAAGGGAAGAACGCAGACGGUACCUUCAAAGGAAGCGCCGGCUAACUCCGUGCCAGCAGCCGCGGUAAUACGGAGGGGGCUAGCGUUGUUCGGAAUUACUGGGCGUAAAGCGC
RNAcentral lists this ribosomal RNA (414 nucleotides) under Chaetoceros affinis. RNAcentral's name for it is "partial Bacterial small subunit ribosomal RNA". It matches the Rfam family "Bacterial small subunit ribosomal RNA", at positions 120 to 568 of the family's 1533-position model. The record is from RNAcentral. Lineage: Eukaryota; Bacillariophyta; Thalassiosirophyceae; Chaetocerotales; Chaetocerotaceae.